AGAGUUUGAUCCUGGCUCAGAUUGUACGCUGGCGGCAGGCUUCACACAUGCAAGUCGAACGGUAACAGGGAGAAAGCUUGCUUUCUUUGCUGACGAGUGGCGGACGGGUGAGUAAUGCUUGGGAAUCUGGCUUAUGGAGGGGGAUAACUACGGGAAACUGUAGCUAAUACCGCGUAAUAUCUUCGGAUUAAAGGGUGGGACCGUAAGGCCACCUGCCAUAAGAUGAGCCCAAGUGGGAUUAGGUAGUUGGUGGGGUAAAGGCCUACCAAGCCGACGAUCUCUAGCUGGUCUGAGAGGAUGGCCAGCCACACUGGAACUGAGACACGGUCCAGACUCCUACGGGAGGCAGCAGUGGGGAAUAUUGCACAAUGGGGGGAACCCUGAUGCAGCCAUGCCGCGUGAAUGAAGAAGGCCUUCGGGUUGUAAAGUUCUUUCGGUGAUGAGGAAGGUGUUUGUUUUAAUAGAACAAGCAAUUGACGUUAGUCACAGAAGAAGCACCGGCUAACUCCGUGCCAGCAGCCGCGGUAAUACGGAGGGUGCGAGCGUUAAUCGGAAUGACUGGGCGUAAAGGGCACGCAGGCGGUGACUUAAGUGAGAUGUGAAAGCCCCGGGCUUAACCUGGGAAUUGCAUUUCAUACUGGGUCGCUAGAGUAUUUUAGGGAGGGGUAGAAUUCCACGUGUAGCGGUGAAAUGCGUAGAGAUGUGGAGGAAUACCGAAGGCGAAGGCAGCCCCUUGGGAAUAUACUGACGCUCAUGUGCGAAAGCGUGGGGAGCAAACAGGAUUAGAUACCCUGGUAGUCCACGCUGUAAACGCUGUCGAUUUGGGGAUUGGGCUUAGAGCUUGGUGCCCGUAGCUAACGUGAUAAA
RNAcentral lists this ribosomal RNA (867 nucleotides) under uncultured bacterium. RNAcentral describes it as "bacterial SSU rRNA". It matches the Rfam family "Bacterial small subunit ribosomal RNA", at positions 8 to 864 of the family's 1533-position model. The record is from RNAcentral.